RNAcentral lists this ribosomal RNA (423 nucleotides) under uncultured bacterium. RNAcentral describes it as "bacterial SSU rRNA". It matches the Rfam family "Bacterial small subunit ribosomal RNA", at positions 202 to 622 of the family's 1533-position model. The record is from RNAcentral.
AAGASCUUGCGCUUUUGGAGCGGCCGAUGCCUGAUUAGCUUGUUGGUAAGGUAAAAGCUUACCAAGGCUUCGAUCAGUAGCUGGUCUGAGAGGACGACCAGCCACACUGGGACUGAGACACGGCCCAGACUCCUACGGGAGGCAGCAGUGGGGAAUUUUGGACAAUGGGGGCAACCCUGAUCCAGCCAUGCCGCGUGAGUGAAGAAGGCCUUCGGGUUGUAAAGCUCUUUCAGCCGGAACGAAACGGUUACGGUUAACACCCGUGACUACUGACGGUACCGGAAGAAGAAGCACCGGCUAACUACGUGCCAGCAGCCGCGGUAAUACGUAGGGUGCGAGCGUUAAUCGGAAUUACUGGGCGUAAAGCGUGCGCAGGUGGUUUUGUAAGUCAGAUGUGAAAGCCCCGGGCUCAACCUGGGAACU